Molecule: unclassified non-coding RNA, 159 nt
Filed under: uncultured Herpotrichiellaceae
Lineage: Eukaryota; Fungi; Ascomycota; Eurotiomycetes; Chaetothyriales; Herpotrichiellaceae
Description: sequence contains ITS2
Source: RNAcentral
UCAAAGUAUCAAGCUUGGCUUGUUGUUGGGCCCUUUUGUCACCCUGGUGAUAGGUCCAAAAGAUAAUGACCGGUGUCGUAAAGACUCUAUAUGCAACGAGCUUAUAACAGCACGCAUCUAGUAGUUAUAUGGCCCGGUUCUCACCCCUUUAUUUCUCAA